UGAGGAAUAUUGGACAAUGGGCGCAAGCCUGAUCCAGCCAUGCCGCGUGCAGGAUGACGGUCCUAUGGAUUGUAAACUGCUUUUGUACAGGAAGAAACAGUUCUACGUGUAGAACCUUGACGGUACUGUAAGAAUAAGGAUCGGCUAACUCCGUGCCAGCAGCCGCGGUAAUACGGAGGAUCCAAGCGUUAUCCGGAAUCAUUGGGUUUAAAGGGUCCGUAGGCGGUUAGAUAAGUCAGUGGUGAAAGCCCAUCGCUCAACGGUGGAACGGCCAUUGAUACUGUCUGACUUGAAUUAUUAGGAAGUAACUAGAAUAUGUAGUGUAGCGGUGAAAUGCUUAGAGAUUACAUGGAAUACCAAUUGCGAAGGCAGGUUACUACUAAUGGAUUGACGCUGAUGGACGAAAGCGUGGGUAGCGAACAGGAUUAGAUACCAGUAGUCCCUGAGCGGGCUGGCAAGGCGCAU
RNAcentral lists this ribosomal RNA (465 nucleotides) under uncultured bacterium. RNAcentral's name for it is "bacterial SSU rRNA". It matches the Rfam family "Bacterial small subunit ribosomal RNA", at positions 355 to 825 of the family's 1533-position model. The record is from RNAcentral.